Molecule: ribosomal RNA, 900 nt
Filed under: Salmonella enterica subsp. enterica serovar Heidelberg
Lineage: Bacteria; Pseudomonadati; Pseudomonadota; Gammaproteobacteria; Enterobacterales; Enterobacteriaceae
Description: partial 23S ribosomal RNA
Rfam family: Bacterial large subunit ribosomal RNA
Source: RNAcentral
CCGUGUACGUACAAGCAGUGGGAGCACAGGUUUACCUGUGUGACUGCGUACCUUUUGUAUAAUGGGUCAGCGACUUAUAUUCUGUAGCAAGGUUAACCGUAUAGGGGAGCCGGAGGGAAACCGAGUCUUAAUUGGGCGUUAAGUUGCAGGGUAUAGACCCGAAACCCGGUGAUCUAGCCAUGGGCAGGUUGAAGGUUGGGUAACACUAACUGGAGGACCGAACCGACUAAUGUUGAAAAAUUAGCGGAUGACCUGUGGCUGGGGGUGAAAGGCCAAUCAAACCGGGAGAUAGCUGGUUCUCCCCGAAAGCUAUUUAGGUAGCGCCUCGUGAAUUCAUCUCCGGGGGUAGAGCACUGUUUCGGCUAGGGGGCCAUCCCGGCUUACCAACCCGAUGCAAACUGCGAAUACCGGAGAAUGUUAUCACGGGAGACACACGGCGGGUGCUAACGUCCGUCGUGAAGAGGGAAACAACCCAGACCGCCAGCUAAGGUCCCAAAGUCAUGGUUAAGUGGGAAACGAUGUGGGAAGGCCCAGACAGCCAGGAUGUUGGCUUAGAAGCAGCCAUCAUUUAAAGAAAGCGUAAUAGCUCACUGGUCGAGUCGGCCUGCGCGGAAGAUGUAACGGGGCUAAACCAUGCACCGAAGCUGCGGCAGCGAACGUAUCACCCAAGACAACUUUACGGAGUUGACGAUUGACGGAGCGAAGCGACGUCAAAGCGUUCAUUAAAGUCGAGUUGGCUUAGGGAUACGUUCGUUGGGUAGGGGAGCGUUCUGUAAGCCUGUGAAGGUGUGUCGUGAGGCAUGCUGGAGGUAUCAGAAGUGCGAAUGCUGACAUAAGUAACGAUAAAGCGGGUGAAAAGCCCGCUCGCCGGAAGACCAAGGGUUCCUGUCCAACGUUAAU